RNAcentral lists this ribosomal RNA (442 nucleotides) under uncultured bacterium. RNAcentral describes it as "partial 16S ribosomal RNA". It matches the Rfam family "Bacterial small subunit ribosomal RNA", at positions 338 to 795 of the family's 1533-position model. The record is from RNAcentral.
CCUACGGGAGGCAGCAGUGGGGAAUAUUGGGCAAUGGGCGCAAGCCUGACCCAGCAAUGCCGCGUGAAGGAAGAAGGCUUUCGGGUUGUAAACUUCUUUGACAGGGGAAGAGCAGAAGACGGUACCCUGAAAACAAGCCACGGCUAACUACGUGCCAGCAGCCGCGGUAAUACGUAGGUGGCAAGCGUUGUCCGGAUUUACUGGGUGUAAAGGGCGUGUAGCCGGGAAGGCAAGUCAGAUGUGAAAUCUGGAGGCUGAACCUCCAAAUUGCAGUUGAAAUUGUGGUGCUUGAGUACGGGAGAGGUAGAUGGAAUUCCUUGUGUAGCGGGGAAAUGCGUAGAUAUAAGGAGGAACACCAGUGGCGAAGGCGGUCUGCUGGACAGCAACUGACGGUGAGGCGCGAAAGCGUGGGGAGCAAACAGGAUUAGAUACCCCUGUAGUC